Oncorhynchus mykiss (rainbow trout) is the source of this 154-nucleotide non-coding RNA. Ensembl annotates it as small Cajal body-specific RNA 1. NCBI's taxonomy places the organism in Eukaryota, Metazoa, Chordata, Actinopteri, Salmoniformes, Salmonidae. The record is from Ensembl.
AUGCACCAGAUACGGACACUACUGUCCUCAGCCCAGUGCAUCCUGGUGCCUGAGUUCCGUGACUGUUGGGUUUUAAGAAAGGUGCCACAGAAACAUCAGUCCUGAUAUUUAAGCUCAGGAGUGCACUCUUGAGUUAUGGCUCAGAGGCACGUGG